UAACAUUGUUAAACUCCCAUUAACCGAGACCUAUGGGGAGUAUAAAUUACGUCUCUCAUAUCCCGCCUGAGGGUGGCGGGAGCAUAGUAACUCCA
RNAcentral lists this non-coding RNA (95 nucleotides) under unclassified sequences. RNAcentral describes it as "PhotoRC-II RNA". It matches the Rfam family "PhotoRC-II RNA". The record is from RNAcentral.